RNAcentral lists this ribosomal RNA (759 nucleotides) under uncultured Methanofollis sp. RNAcentral describes it as "bacterial SSU rRNA". It matches the Rfam family "Archaeal small subunit ribosomal RNA", at positions 131 to 895 of the family's 1478-position model. The record is from RNAcentral. Lineage: Archaea; Methanobacteriati; Methanobacteriota; Methanomicrobia; Methanomicrobiales; Methanomicrobiaceae.
UCCGGGAAACUGGAGAUAAUACCUCAUAGUUUACCAUCGCUGGAAUGCCUGGUAAGCGAAAGGUCCGCCGCCUUAGGAUGGGUCUGCGGCCGAUUAGGUAGUUGUUGGGGUAACGGCCCAACAAGCCUGUAAUCGGUACGGGUUGUGGGAGCAAGAGCCCGGAGAUGGAUUCUGAGACACGAAUCCAGGCCCUACGGGGCGCAGCAGGCGCGAAAACUUUACAAUGCAGGCAACUGUGAUAAGGGAACCCCGAGUGCCCGUAUGGACGGGCUGUUCAGGUGCUUAAAAACCACCUGGAGAAAGGGCCGGGCAAGACCGGUGCCAGCCGCCGCGGUAAUACCGGCGGCUCGAGUGGUGGCCACUAUUACUGGGCUUAAAGCGUCCGUAGCUUGGUCGUUAAGCCUCUGGGGAAAUCUUCCGGCUUAACCGGAAGGCGUCUCAGGGGAACUGGCGACCUAGGGAUCGGGAGAGGUGAGAGGUACUCUGGGGGUAGGAGUGAAAUCCUGUAAUCCUCAGGGGACCACCUGUGGCGAAGGCGUCUCACCAGAACGACUCCGACAGUGAGGGACGAAAGCUGGGGGAGCAAACCGGAUUAGAUACCCGGGUAGUCCCAGCCGUAAACGAUGCGCGUUAGGUGUAUCGGUGACCACGAGUUACCGAGGUGCCGAAGGGAAACCGUGAAACGCGCCGCCUGGGAAGUACGGUCGCAAGGCUGAAACUUAAAGGAAUUGGCGGGGGAGCACCACAACGGGUGGAGCC